UCGCUCCUACCGAUUUCGAGUGGUCCGGUGAAUCUUUCGGACGGCGCGCGGCCUCGUGCCGUGUCGCUGAAAGUCAGGUAAACCUUAUCACUUAGAGGAAGGAG
This 104-nucleotide ribosomal RNA is filed under the name uncultured eukaryote. RNAcentral's name for it is "partial small subunit ribosomal RNA". The record is from RNAcentral.